UACCCGCUGGAACUUAAGCAUAUCAAUAAGCGGAGGAAAAGAAACCAACAGGGAUUGCCUCAGUAACGGCGAGUGAAGCGGCAACAGCUCAAAUUUGAAAUCUGGCUCUUUCAGGGUCCGAGUUGUAAUUUGUAGAGGAUGCUUCGGGUACGGCUCCGGUCUAAGUUCCUUGGAACAGGACGUCACAGAGGGUGAGAAUCCCGUACGUGACCGGCCGCCACGCCCAUGUGAAGCUCCUUCGACGAGUCGAGUUGUUUGGGAAUGCAGCUCAAAAUGGGUGGUAAAUUUCAUCUAAAGCUAAAUAUUGGCCAGAGACCGAUAGCGCACAAGUAGAGUGAUCGAAAGAUGAAAAGCACUUUGGAAAGAGAGUUAAACAGUACGUGAAAUUGUUGAAAGGGAAGCGCUUGCAACCAGACUUGCCCGCGGGUGAUCAGCCGGUAUUUUUACCGGUGCACUCGCCCGUGGUCAGGCCAGCAUCGGUUUGGGCGGUUGGAUAAAGUCCCCCUGAAUGUAGCUCCUCUCGGGGAGUGUUAUAGCUGGGGGUGCAAUGCAACCCGCCCGGACCGAGGACCGCGCUUCGGCUAGGG
RNAcentral lists this ribosomal RNA (587 nucleotides) under Pleopsidium sp. RNAcentral's name for it is "partial large subunit ribosomal RNA". It matches the Rfam family "Eukaryotic large subunit ribosomal RNA", at positions 22 to 623 of the family's 3401-position model. Lineage: Eukaryota; Fungi; Ascomycota; Lecanoromycetes; Acarosporales; Acarosporaceae. The record is from RNAcentral.